AGGAACCUUCCCUUCCCUGUAUUUUGCCUAAACAUUAGCCUAUAAAUAGGCAUACCAAUUGUAAAGGGGAGUGUGACCAACGGAGAAAAGAAAGAAAGGGGAGAAUAGAAAAAGAAGAGAGAAGAAGAAGAGAAAAGAAGAGAAAGAAGAAAGAAAAGAAAGAAGAAGAAAGAGAGAGAAAAUUCAGUGAGCCUCACACAUUGUAAACUCUAAAGUUGUAGCCCUAUUAUUUUAUAUAGUGAAAAAGUUACUGCUGCUGCUCUCCGAGGACGUAGGCAUAGCCGAACCUCGUUAAAUGCUGUGUCUCAUCUACUUUACGUGCAGCUCAAUAUUCAUACAUAUUCCAGGAUAUUUUUAUAACACGUUAUCAGCACGAGAAGCUCUCAGGUAUAAUUUUUGUGCUGCACUAUUAUCUAUACUACUAACCACUAACAAAAAUGAACCCUUGGUAAUACUAAACAUAUUAUCAGUGGGAGACCGUUACUAAUACUAACAUUUUUCUUAUUUUAUUCGGUGGUGGUUUUAACCCCACAUUUAUUUAUUGUAUGGUGUAGGUUUAAUAUCCAUACAUGCACAUUUACUUUAUCGCAAAUUUAUUUUACCGCAUAUUUAUUUUAUUUACUGUAUGGUGUAGGUUUAUUACCCAUACAACAGUAUUUAUUUAAAAGGGUGGUGCGGGUUUAUCGUCCACGCCUUUGCUUUUAUUUAAAUGUAUGGAGCAGAAUUAGUGCCCAUACAAGCACAAUUUACUUUACCGCACAUUUAAUUUUAUUUAAAGUAUGGUGCGGGAUUAACGUCCAUACAGCAAGCAAUUUAGUUUAUGAAUUUAAUUUACCGCACAUUUACAUUUAUUUAAAAGGGUGGUGCGGGUUUAUCGUCCACGCCUUUACUUUUAUUUAAAUGUAUGGAGCAGAAUUAAUGCCCAUACAAGCACAUUAACUUUAUGAAUUUAAUUUACCGCACAUUUACAUUUAUUUAAAGUGUGGUGCGGGUUUAUCGUCCAUACCAGUAAUUUAUUUAUCAGCAAUUUAUUUUAUGGAUUAAAUGUGUUGUAUGAUGAGUUUUUACAGUAUGCAGAUCAGGACCAGAAGUUCCUUGAUCCUCAUCAUACAAUUACAUCAGGACUUGAAGAUCCUUGAUGAUGAUAUUAAUAUGAGAGCUGGCAGUCUCUCCGGUACUGUAUUUGUAAACAUGUGAUCGGACUUAAGGGUCCUUGAUCCCUGACAUGUAAAUAAGGACCUAGAGUUCCUUAAUGAUGUAACAGUACCGUAUUGGUUCAUGGUGCCGUACACAUGUAUGAUAACUGUACUGGCAGAUGAAUAGAUACGUAUUCAUGACUUGAUGAAUAGUACUAUUCACAUGAAUAGUGACGUAUGCAUACAUAUUAACCAUUUUGGGUAAACCGUCACUAUAUACAAAAGGGAACCUGCAGUUUCAUGGUGCCGUACACAUGGAUGAUAACUGUACUGGCAGAUGAAUAGAUACGUAUUCAUGACUUGAUGAAUAGUACUAUUCACAUGAAUAGUGACGUAUGCAUAAAUAUUAACCAUUUUGGGUAAACCGUCACUAUAUACAAAAGGGAACCUGCAGUUCCUUAAACUCAUGGAUAAGCAAUUAAAUGAGAUGCCAGAAGUUCCUCAAGAUAUGGACAAUUAUGUAAGGACUUGAAGUCCAGAAAUAUGUACAGAAAAUUGUAAAAAUGUCCAUACCAUAAGAAUAUGUGGCUUUGGCCUGAAGUUCAAAAUUUACAGUGUUGAGAACCUGAAGUUCCAACAAUUAAAUGGACAACCCUUGAGGUAUUAUUGCAAAUUGUGGUAUGCCACCUAUUUCUUUGGCAUAAGAAGAUGAUGAAUUUAAUAAAGUUCGAUUUUGUUAUAAUCGACACCUCAAAGAAGAAAUAUAUUUUGUGAAUUCCGGUUGUUAAGAAUACACCGCGAAAUGGAUAAUAUUAAUAUAAACCUCAAAUAAUGAAUUAAGGCUCCCCACAUAUUUUGUUAUAUCUGGGCCGGAAGCCCAUGGAUCCAAAUAUAUGAGAGAUCCUGAACUUGAAGUUGUGGGUAUAUAGUAGUUAAUGCUCUUCACUACUAUAUUGCGAUAUUAUCAUGGCUUUUACUCAAUUCAUAUUUCAUGUCCAUUUGAAAAGGGCAAAUAAAUUCUAAGUUUGUGCCCAGGCCAAAAGUUCCGGGUUACCAUGCGAUAAAAUAUGAAAUUUGGGAGAGACAAUGUGAUUAUUUGAACCUAUAAGGCACAAGGUUCCAAAUCGUCAUUUUGAAAAGACGUAAAAACCACAGGUGCAAGUUUAAGAAUAUGCGCAAUUAUUAUAACAGGAACAUACAACAGAUAGAUUUUUUCCUGCAAUGAAGGUGCAGGCCCUGUAAAAUCUAUAAAAUUACAUUAUGUUCUGGAAGCCUCUGAAGGAAGAGGACGGCGCCUCUUAAGCUUAGCCAUGAGCUUCUCGUGGUCUCCCAAAAUUCUUUCAUUGGAGACCUGCAGCAUGUCUAGCCUUCUCAGUGUAUCAACAGAGUACGAACUCACCAGUUUCAACAAGGAAUUAUUCUCAACUUUAAGUUUCUCAACCUCCUGUUAAGACUCAUGAAGCAUUCUUUGAAGAGACGAAUUUUCAGUUGUCAGCUUCUCAACCUCGUUUGCUCUAGCACGCAAACGAUCAGCCAUGUUAGAAACAGAAGCAGCACUCUGAAUGCUAAAAGCCAUUGAGUCAUCAAUAGCCUCUUCCUCUGAUCUCCCUGUCAACAACAUUUCAUCCAUUGGAGUAAUGAAAUUCCUAGCUACUAUGACAGUAGUAGCAUCAUUCAUCAUCACAGAAUCAUUAACUGUGAGAUGACGAUUUUUGGAUACAAAGGAUGGACGCCAAACUUGGGCGUCAUUGGUUGUUGUGGGAGCAUCAUUUAAAUUGAAAUAAUUUGGGCAGGAAGAAGAGGAAGCCAUUUUUUUUUUAAGAAGGUUUCGAAGAAAGUCUUAGAAAAACUAAAGGCUCGGAAAAUGAAGGAAGUUGAGUUGAAACGCAGUUUGCAAAGGCAAUAUCUAUAGACGAAAAUGUGGCAACUUUUCAGGACCCCAAUAUCUUCUCGAAUCCCCAUAUUAUCUUUUUCUUUCCCAGAGUUCAAAACUUCACGUGGCCUCUAAUAAUGCUUGUUGGCACUUUCGGCGUUUUUCAAAGUAUUAUUUUCAAAGCCGAUCUUGCUUUACGGAUUUCACGGAGCUACUUUUUCAAAAGUAUCCCGAGAAUCUCGCAAUUUUCCUAUGGUUAAUUUGAAAUUCACCGGUUCUACCUAUUCAUUGUAUUUGUGUAUAAAUGUGUUACUAACGAAAUUUUCUUUGCAGAAGACAUCCAGUUUACUCCAUACCUAGUGAUGCGAUAUCUACUUAUUUUUCUUAUCAGUAAGCACUCAAUAUGCCCGAGAAGCAAGACUAUCUCUGAUCAUCCAUUCAGGAAGCAAGACUAUCCCUGAUCAUCAGGGAACUGUGAAGGCGACUUAUGCUCUAAUCUCCUGAGGUCCUUCUAGACUAGGAGAAAUGAGAGCUUGUUGUCUGCUCCCACCAGCUUCCUUCCUUGCUUGCUUACCUUACCUUGCAAUCAAUAUCACAAUUUUUGUAUCUUUUCUUUCUUUUUAUAACUCUCUGUUCAUAAAGGAUUUUAUUUCUUUAGAAUGAACAUCCGAAGAAAGAAUCCAUGCAGUGAUCCUAACUCUGAGAGUUAUUUGUUUUUGACAGAGAAAAGAAUUGUGAUUUUUGCUCUUGCAGGAUAUAACAAGAUCAUCAAGCGAUACUUUAUAUUUACUGGGCCGAUACGAGCUUGAAUGAUACUUGAGAAAAGUUUCUCCCAUCUAAGGAUGUAAGCAAUACUUGUGUUAUUUUAUGCUUAUAUACCUAUUUGAUAUUUUGUCUUGAAAGGUAACCAAAUGGGGAGAUAAGUCCGUUCCAAAAGAAUGGCUUGUAUGUAUCCAUGAAUUAUUAACGCAAAUUUUACAGAUUGCAAGUUGGAUACAUUGAUAAUACACUGCACAGAUUAAAGUCCCAUAAGAACAGAAUAUGGGUAUAGCAGUGAUCAAUAUGAUGCACGCCUGUUGCGUAGCAAAUGAUGUGGAUUGAAGUCCCGAAAGGACAAUCCUUUGACAUGUCAAUAUUGAUAUUAUGCACGCCUAAUGCGUAGCAAAUUAUAUGGGUUAAAGUCCCAUAAUAUGGGUUAAAGUCCCAGAAAUUAAUUGACAUGUAUGUAUUAAUCUGUGGCAUACCUGCAGCAUGACAGAUAUAUGGGUUCUAAAUGUUCCAACUCUCUAAAUAGAGAUUAUCCACUCCCUACUGUAAAAUAACGCUCCAUUGGAGGUUAUAAUCCACAUUCUCACAUAAUAAAAGCCCCAUGAAGUGGCUUGGGUACCCAAAAGCAAAGAAAUGCUUAUAAUUGAUGCAUGCGCAUGCACAUGAGAAUGGUGGGAUCAUGAAUUGAUGAAUGACAAUUUUUGGUUUUGGAGUAGCUACUCAAAUCAUCAAUGGGCUGUGUUGAUUGGAACCACGUUCAAUUAUUAAAUGUCGACAAUAUCAUUGGCCAAAAUGGAACGAGGUAAUUCCAUUAUAAAUGAGAAUGAACGUGAAAGAACAAACCCACAAUACGAACCCCAAAAUUUGUUAAUACUGAAAGUUAUACUUGGGUGUUCGGAAUAAAAUGGAAUAUACCUACUUUGUAUGACACACUGAAUGUUGGGUUUUCUCCAUAUUUACAGAUUCAAUUGUGCCCCCCCUUAUUACACAAUUACGGAGACCAACAUAUUAUCUUUAAGGGUUAUUAAAUGCACGGAGCAUAUCGCCAGAAGCGAUUUCCUAAAGAUGUAUAAAUAGCUGGGUAAAAGCUAUAUAAUGUGUCAUAAAGCUUAAUCCCUUUUAGACAAAAUCCGUUGAGAGGAUUGAUAUUGCAUAAAGCAAGUCCCUAAAGGACAUAUGCUUGAAGCACAAAAUUUGUACUCAAUAUUAAUAUGCAUAAAUUACCUCAGUGAGUACAUUGAUUAUAAUGUGAUUGCAACACAUUAAAGCUUCUGCAGAAUUCAUGAAAUAUUUGUCUCGAUCGAGCAUUAUGCCAACGAGAUUCUUGCUUAUACUAAGAAAGUAUUAAAGUAUUUUUAUGAGGAUUAUCCGUUGGACACUGUAAUGAUUUUCCGGAAGUAUAUUGGACCGGACAUCAUAUUUUCCAGAUAGGGCUCAACUUCAUCACCAUCAUUUUGGGAUGAUGUGAGGUAUAUUUGAUGCUAUCUAAGCAUAACACCAUAUACGGGCAUAUUUUUUUAGUGAACUUAUAAAUAGCCCAAGUGUUCUAAGAUAUGCGGACUCAGGAAAUCUCUAUGGUCGCUUACUGGAAAAAGCUAGUCAUGAAGUUUUCAGGGGGAGAUAUUCAUCAGGGGGAGCAUGGUAUUAAUAAAGACCUUCAUACACUAUUGACUCAUAGCAGCAGUGUCAACCAUGAUAUUCAGACAGAUGAUCAACAGUAUGACUUAAAGAUAUUUUGCCAAGCAUCAGGGAGAGCGUGCUGUCAAUACAGACCCUUACACACUGUACUCUUUUUCCUUCGUCCAGGUUUUUAUCCCACUGGGUUUUUCCUGGCAAGGUUUUAACGAGGCAGUGUCGCACGCGCGUCAAUAUACACAGAAUUUUAUGUUACACGUGAUUAUGUACUCUUUUCCCUUCGACCAGUUUUUGUCCCACUGGGUUUUUACUGGCAAGGUUUUUAACGAGGCAUAUUCCAUAUCAUUUGUGGUCUCCAAGGGGGAGUGUUGUAAAAGUUUGAAGGUGGAGCCCACAGAGGAAGUUUCCUUGCAUCUUCCAGGAACUUUCUCUUCCCUGUAUUUAUCAAUUCAGGAAGUUUCCUUGCAUCUUCCAGGAACUUUCCUUCCCUGUAUUUAUCAAUUCAGGAAGUUUCCUUGCAUCUUCCAGGAACCUUCCCUUCCCUGUAUUUUGCCUAAACAUUAGCCUAUAAAUAGGCAUACCAAUUGUAAAGGGGAGUGUGACCAACGGAGAAAAGAAAGAAAGGGGAGAAGAGAAAAAGAAGAGAGAAGAAGAAGAGAAAAGAAGAGAAAGAAGAAAGAAAAGAAAGAAGAAGAAAGAGAGAGAAAAUUCAGUGAGCCUCACAUAUUGUAAACUCUAAAGUUGUAGCCCUAUUAUUUUAUAUAGUGAAAAAGUUACUGCUGCUGCUCUCCGAGGACAUAAGCAUAGCCGAACCUCGUUAAAUGUUGUGUCUCAUCUACUUUACGUGCAGCUCAAUAUUCAUACAUAUUCCAG
Molecule: long non-coding RNA, 6285 nt
Filed under: Prunus persica (peach)
Lineage: Eukaryota; Viridiplantae; Streptophyta; Magnoliopsida; Rosales; Rosaceae
Description: long non-coding RNA (PPER_LNC002632)
Source: RNAcentral